Molecule: ribosomal RNA, 491 nt
Filed under: uncultured bacterium
Lineage: Bacteria
Description: bacterial SSU rRNA
Rfam family: Bacterial small subunit ribosomal RNA
Source: RNAcentral
GAACUANGCGGCGUGGAUUAGGCAUGCAAGUCGAGCGAGAAACCUUUUUUUGCUUGCAUUAAAAGGUGGAAAGCGGCGAAAGGGAGAGUAACGCGUAGGUACAUACCCCCAGGUCUGGGAUAGCGGCGGGAAACUGCCGGUAAUACCGGAUGAUGUCCCUGGACCAAAGGUGAGAUUCCGCCUGGGGAGUGGCCUGCGUACUAUUAGCUUGUUGGCGGGGUAAUGGCCCACCAAGGCAAAGAUGGUUAGCGGGUGUGAGAGCAUGGCCCGUCUCACUGGGACUGAGACACUGCCCAGACACCUACGGGUGGCUGCAGUCGAGAAUCUUCCGCAAUGGACGCAAGUCCGACGGAGCGACGCCGCGUGUGGGAUGAAGGCCCUCGGGUUGUAAGCCACUGUCAGUGGGGUGGAAAUGCUGUGGGGUUAUCCCCAUGGUUUGACCUAACCGCAGAGGAAGUCCGGGCUAAGUACGUGCCAGCAGCCGCGGUAAC